RNAcentral lists this non-coding RNA (209 nucleotides) under Erythrobacter sp. Lineage: Bacteria; Pseudomonadati; Pseudomonadota; Alphaproteobacteria; Sphingomonadales; Erythrobacteraceae. RNAcentral also lists the same sequence under 1 other name. The record is from RNAcentral.
CGCAUGGCCUGCGUCAUAGGUUGCCCGCGAGAGCGGGCCGAAGAGGGAAGCAGGUGAGGGGGAACCCGAAUCCUGCGCUGCCCCCGCAACUGUGACCGGGGAGCCGCGCGCUCAUCAUGCCACUGCUGCCUUCUUGAAGGCAGCGGGAAGGCGGGCGCGAAAGCUGUGAUCCGGCGAGCCAGGAGACCUGCCUGUUACGCGUCGUUCGG